CCCACCCCCACCCCCCUCGUGCCCGCUCCGCUACGUAUUCCCGUAUUCCCGGGUGCCUGGCAACAGUGAUGUGCUUUAGGCCUUUUUUAGAAUGCAUACAAACGGAACCAUAUCUAAGUGAUGUCUGGCUUUUUUAACUUAGCACAAUGCUUUGAGAUUCAUACUAUUGUGUUUAAUUAGUAAUUCAUUUGUGUUAUUGUUGAAUGGUAGUCUAUCAUAUGGGUAAGCCACAGUUUAUUUAUCCAUUCACCAAUUGAUGGGCCUGUCGGUUGUAGGGAACAGGAGAAAACUUCCCCUUUGCCCUCUGAAGGGUCACCGAAAAUCAACUGACAAGGCUGGGCCUGGGCUCCUGCCUGUAACCCCAGCCCUUUUUUAGCCCAAGGCAGGAGGAUCUCUUCUUUGUGAAGUGUGUAUUCAAAUCUUUUGACCAUUUAUUUAUUAGCUAGCUUGACUUUUUAUCUAAGAGUUCUUUAUAUAUUAUUGAGUUCUUUAUAUGUUUCAUACCAUGUUCUUUAUUAGCUAUACGUUUUGAAAUGUUUUCUACCUGUCUGUGGCUUGCCUCUUCAUUUUAAGUGUCUUUUGAAGCACUGAAGUUUUCAAUUUUGAUGUAAUUUAUCCAUUUUUUUCUUUUACAUAGUUCAUACCUUUUUUGUCCUACUUAAGACAUUUUUGCUAAAUUCAAGAUUAUAAGAUUUCCUCAUUUGUUACCUUCUGGAAGUUUUAUAAUUGUUGGUCUUCAUUAUAUUUAAAAUGAAUUAUUCUUUAUAGUAUCGAUAGAUGCUGGAGGCAGAUAAGGGAGGGUCCCUGGAGAAUCUCUGACCUGCCUCACAAGCUUUUGUGCAGCUGAGGAAGCCUGCCCAGGGUCUUGUCUGGGCAUGCCCACAAGGGACUUGGGGGCCCACUGCACCAGGAGAGUGGGGUGCAGCCAGAGGGAAUUCAGCCUUAUGCAGCAGGGAUGAGCAAGAAGUCUUCAGCUUGUGUGUGUUGGCCUGUUAUUCAGUCUGUGAGCUGGGAGCCUGUUGGCAGGACCCUCCUUGUUUUUUUGCUAAGAGCUUUUAAUAAAUGCCACUCUUCACCUUGCAAUGUAUUCACAUGCCUAAUUGUUCCUGGUCAUGAGACAAGAACCUGGAUUUUAGCUGAGCUAAGGAGCAAAAAUUCCUGCAUCAGUAUGAGGUGUAAGGAAGAACAGAAGGAUCCAAGUGUGAGAAAGCCCACCCUGAGUCUCUCAGAGAUUCAUUUCACUACCAGGUCAAAGACACAAUCAAAAGCCCGACAAAUGGAAUUUGUGGAAUUGGAACAAAAAGCUUUUCUUCCUAGGCACAAGAACAUCAAAGCAUAAAUCCUUCAGGUAUCAGCAAUGACAUCACUUAAGAAUUUCUCAGAAUCUUUGGCACCACCCCAGGCCUACCGGAUCAGAAUCUGAAUUUUUUAACAAGAUCUCAGAUCUAGUCAAGAGUCCAGUCUGAUUUCUCUUUAUUGGGACUACCACCCAAAGCAGAAUGAGGAUGAUGUAACCACGCCCAGUGACUUCUGGAUACCACUGACUCUAGAUCCUGAAUUCCAGCAGAAUGGCUGACACCAACUGGUCUGAAGACCCUCACCAAGGAACUGACUCAGUGCAGGAAUGCAGUUUCUUCAUCUCCCUAUCCCUGACUUCACCCCUCACUUCUCAACCAAUCAGUGAUCACCACACUUUAGGCCAUCACCUGUGUCCAGACCCCUUAAAAACCCCAUCUGCAAACCUCUUGAAGAGGCAUAUUUGAGGUUUCCUCUCAUCUCCUCAUUUGGUUUCCCUACAAUUAUUAAAUUCUUUCUCUGCUGCAACUCCUACUUUUUCAGUGUAUUGGUCUGUUACUGUGCAACAGGAAAUCAGACCUGGUGGUCCUAUAGUAAGAGUUCACAGAAUAUGAUAUACAAAGUGAUCUGUGAUAUACAAAAACCGGCACAAUCUCACUCUUAAUAAGAAAAAUUCAACUUAAAAUUAAAAGUUUUUUUUCCUCAGAAUGGCAAAGAUCAAAGUUUGAUAACAUGGUUGGAAAGUAUGCAGACCGAUAUUCUCAUAUUCAUUGAUGAAGUGUAAAUUGAUACAUCCUUUGUCAGUACGGACAGGUUUCCCAACUCUAGGGGUGAAAUUUAUACAGACUACAGUGUGAAUGACAACCACUUCAAAUUGGGUGAUAUGAUGACCUUGACUCUGUGGAGGGUCAUUUGGCAAAAUAUCUCAAAAUAAAAAUGUACAUACAAUUUGA
This 2249-nucleotide long non-coding RNA is filed under the name Homo sapiens (human). RNAcentral describes it as "HSALNT0320834". Lineage: Eukaryota; Metazoa; Chordata; Mammalia; Primates; Hominidae. The record is from RNAcentral.